CUGGCGGUAUGCUUAACACAUGCAAGUCGAACGGUAACAGGCCUUCGGGCGCUGACGAGUGGCGGACGGGUGAGUAACGCGUAGGAAUCUGCCUUAUAGUGGGGGACAACGUGGGGAAACCCACGCUAAUACCGCAUACGCCCUACGGGGGAAAGGAGGGGAUCUUCGGACCUUUCGCUAUGAGAUGAGCCUGCGUUAGAUUAGCUAGUUGGUAGGGUAAAGGCCUACCAAGGCGACGAUCUAUAGCUGGUCUGAGAGGACGAUCAGCCACACUGGGACUGAGACACGGCCCAGACUCCUACGGGAGGCAGCAGUGGGGAAUAUUGGACAAUGGGCGCAAGCCUGAUCCAGCAAUACCGCGUGUGUGAAGAAGGCCUUCGGGUUGUAAAGCACUUUCAAUUGGGAGGAAAACCUGCCGGUCAAUACCCGGUAGCUUGACAUUACCUUUAGAAGAAGCACCGGCUAACUCCGUGCCAGCAGCCGCGGUAAUACGGAGGGUGCGAGCGUUAAUCGGAAUUACUGGGCGUAAAGCGUGCGUAGGCGGUUCGUUAAGUCAGAUGUGAAAGCCCCGGGCUUAACCUGGGAACUGCAUUUGAAACUGGCGAACUAGAGUUGAGUAGAGGGGAGUGGAAUUUCAGGUGUAGCGGUGAAAUGCGUAGAUAUCUGAAGGAACACCAGUGGCGAAGGCGACUCCCUGGACUCAAACUGACGCUGAGGUACGAAAGCGUGGGUAGCAAACAGGAUUAGAUACCCUGGUAGUCC
RNAcentral lists this ribosomal RNA (762 nucleotides) under uncultured bacterium. Its description in RNAcentral is "bacterial SSU rRNA". It matches the Rfam family "Bacterial small subunit ribosomal RNA", at positions 36 to 796 of the family's 1533-position model. The record is from RNAcentral.